Molecule: long non-coding RNA, 797 nt
Organism: Microplitis demolitor
Lineage: Eukaryota; Metazoa; Arthropoda; Insecta; Hymenoptera; Braconidae
Exons: 3
Source: RefSeq, a predicted model, not a curated record
AAUUUAAGUAACUUGCAGGCAGAGGCCAGCUGGGAACAAUUUAGUUAUUGAUAAGGAUAUUGAUAUAGAUGAAUGAUUCACUGCAAGCUGUCAACAAUUGAUGAGCUUGUUCCCCUCUGUACAAAAUAGUAAGUUUGAAGAUGUCUAAAAAGAAAUGUCUGAUCCUCAAAAAAAUAAUUUUAAGCUAUUGUUAAAAUAAUUGAAUUCGGGAUUUUAUUUAAAAAAUAAUGCGACAUUCGGGUUCUAUGGGUCAAAAGAUAUAAAAACAAAACCUUACUCUAGCAUAGGAGAUACAACACAUACGGAAAGAUAAUACAUACAGCGCCUAGACUAUUACAAAGAUAUUUUUGCUAAUGUAAGUGAAUAGGGGACUGAUGAUAAAAACCCCUGUGAUUUGCGCGCGCAUAAAGUUAUUCCGAGCAUACUGAAACGUAGUACAAUCGAACAAACUAAGUCCAGUUCAGACUUGACAUCGAUCCGAUUAGGUCAACAGUAAAAUUAUAAAUUUAUAAAUAAAAUAAUAAUUUUUUCAUUAAAAUUAUUUCCAAUUUUUAUCUUGAUUAAAUUAAUAAUUAAUUAUUUAUAAUUGAAAGCCUUGAAAUUUUAUUAUUUGUUUUAUUAAUUAAUAUAAUAAUGAAAUCAAACAUAAUAAUUACUAGUGCUAAUAAAAAUUCGAGAAACUUGAAAGAAAUAAUAAGUAAAAAAAUUCUUACGAUCAGUUUGCCAGUUGGACAUCUGGCAAAGUAAAAGUGGCAACGCCGGAAUGUAAUUGUCAGUAAGGAGAGAUUUAAUGAAUC